GGUGCUACUUACAAACAAAAGGAUGGGAAUAUGCUCUUUUCUCAGAUUCGGGUUUUUUCUAUUCCAGAUAUGGUUCAUCUCAAGGCCAUUUACACUUUGGAGCCAGGCCUGUUCAGUUUUACAAAUAGCACAGGUUACUGUGACAACAUGAAGAGUUGAAGGUACCUCCCAGGAUGAUUGCAGAUUUUCCCGGUGGUGAGUCUCCGGCAUUCAAAGGUUCUGUUAGUGCCAUACUUGUUGGUUUACAGAGAUGGUGUGUCUGGCUGAGACCAAAGGAGCCAUGCCAGGAAAGUUAAAGCGUAUCUUCAUUUUUAAGUCCAGGCUAAAGUAAGGUCUGAGGAAAAGAAUGAGCUGCAUGAGAAAGAUAGGAACAGAUCAUCAAAUCUGAUUGUCCGGGCCAGUGUUGCAUCAUAACAGGCCACUUUAAAAUGAAGUGAAAUUGACAAUUGUGAAUUUAACCUUCC
Molecule: long non-coding RNA, 464 nt
Filed under: Mus pahari (shrew mouse)
Lineage: Eukaryota; Metazoa; Chordata; Mammalia; Rodentia; Muridae
Description: lncRNA (MGP_PahariEiJ_G0012012.1)
Source: RNAcentral